Bos taurus (domestic cattle) is the source of this 1287-nucleotide long non-coding RNA. Lineage: Eukaryota; Metazoa; Chordata; Mammalia; Artiodactyla; Bovidae. The record is from Ensembl.
GAAUGGGGUUGAAUGAAUCCCACAUGAAUGGGAUUUGCCCUCAUAACAAAGACACCAGCCAGCUCCCCCAGCCCUUCUGCCAUGAGAGGAUGCAGCAAGAAGACACAGCUGUCUGUGAACCAGGAAGCAGGACCUCACCUGACACCAUAUCUUCCGACACCUUGAUCUUGGACUUCCCAACCUCCAGAACUGUGGGAACUCUCCAUCCAGCCCCAUACAACAAAGAAGAGGAAUUUAAGGUCCAACCAAAACUGGAAAAGGAGAGGGAAAACUCUCACACUGAUGUGUGGGGGAUGGAUUGAAGAACACCUUCCAACAAGGGCGGUGAUUCACACUUACUGAAGGCUCACUUGCUAUCUUGUUUGGAUUUCCCUGUUCACGCUACUCCAAGGAGAAGACAUGGGAAUCACCAUCGACAUUUUAUGGCCAAAGAACCCCAGGCAACCGGCCAGCCCUCAAGGUCUCCCAGGAAGGGAGGCGGUCUUUGACCCAGACCCAGUGUCGCCUCCAUCAUGCCUCCUUGACCUUGAAACCAUGCCUCCUUGAUCUUGAAGGCUCCUCCAGAAAAAGGAACACUGGCUCCAAGGCAUAAUCAAAGGAGAUGUGCAGCAUUCCUAAGCACAGUCAGACAUUUCCUGGGAGUACAGGAGCUUCAGCUUGAUCAUUAGUUGUCACAACUUCACUGGCCUCCAUCAGCAGAGCUAGCCAUGCCUCUGACUUUGAAAACAAAGGAUGCAGAAAAGCAGAGAUGCCUCCCACUUAUAAAAGUAUGUGAAGCCUGUAGUCUGAUGAUAUUAUUUUAGUAUCCAUCAUACAGUACUUUCUAGGAGAAGGCAAUGGCACCCCACUCCAGUCCUUUUGCCUGGGAAAUCCCAUGGGCGGAGGAGCCUGGUAGGCUGCAGUCCAUGGGGUCGCUAGGAGUCAGACACGACUGAGCGACUUCACUUUCACUUUUCACUUUGAUGCAUUGGAGAAGGAAAUGGCAACCCACUCCAGUGUUCUUGCCUGGAGAAUGCCGGGGAUGGAGGAGCCUGGUGGGCUGCCGUCUAUGGGGUCGCACACAGUCGGACACGACUGAAGCGACUUAGCAGCAGCAGCAGCAUACUUUACAUCUUUCUCCCUUCCUCCAGGGCACUUGUAAACAAGGGAUAUAUAUGUUACAUUUCUCCUCCAUGCCUUGGUCUAGUCCUCACUCUGACAUUCCCAGCCAAAGUAGAUUAACUCAGAAGUUGGCAGUCUCUCCUGCUGGCCUGUGUCCGUGCUUAUAUAUGUGUGUGUGUGCACACA